RNAcentral lists this ribosomal RNA (1040 nucleotides) under Chlorella sp. BUM11008. RNAcentral's name for it is "bacterial SSU rRNA". It matches the Rfam family "Eukaryotic small subunit ribosomal RNA", at positions 719 to 1733 of the family's 1831-position model. The record is from RNAcentral. Lineage: Eukaryota; Viridiplantae; Chlorophyta; Trebouxiophyceae; Chlorellales; Chlorellaceae.
CAUGUGUUGGGGCAUUAGAUUGUGUUCUGAUUCGAACCGUGACCAAAUUAAGUGUUUAAGCGGGCAUGUACGUUCUUUGAACGUUUCGCUUGAUAAUUUAGCAUGGGACUCAUCUUCCUUGAAAAGGAUAAGAAAAAGGAGCCAGGAAGAGGACUCUGGUAUUGCGCGUUUAGAGGUGAAAUUCCGACAUCUUCGCAGGACGAACGGAGGCGUAGGCUGUCAUUGCCCAUCACAUCUCUAUUGAUCAGGAACGAAAGUCAGGGGAUCGAAGAUGAUUAGAUACCGUCGUAGUCCUGACCGUAAACGAUACUAACUCGAGUUUGUAUGUAACAGUAUUUUAUAAAAUUGAUACAGAAUCCAAGGGAAACCGUUAAGUCUUUGGGUUCUGGGGGGAGUAUAGUCGCAAGGCCGAAACUUAAAGGAAUUGACGGAAAGACACCACCAGGAGUGGAGUUUGCGGCUUAAUUCGACUCAACGCGGGAAAACUCACUAGGAUAGGACAGAAUGAGGAUUGACAGGUUGAAUAUGGUCCUUUCUUGAUUUUUUGGAAGGUGGUGCAUGGCCGUUCUUAGUUCGUGGAGUGAUCUGUCUACUUAAUUGUGUUAACGAACGAGACCUUAACCUGUUAACUAGGCACUAGUUGAACUUUUGUUCAUGGGUUUCUAACGAAAUCUAGGCUAUUCGGGUUACCGAGCUUCUUAAAGGGACAAUACUGUGUAUUUUAUAUUUUAGCGUAGGGAAGUUUAAGGCAAUAACAGGUCUGUGAUGCCCUGAGAUAUCCUAGGCGGCACGCGUACUACAAUGUCAUUGACAACAGGCUUUCUGCUUCUGCAGGCCUCUACCAAAAUGUAGGGGAAAACGUGUCAAACACUUAUAUGACUGGGAUAGCUGUUUGUAAUUACAUCUUAAACGAGGAAUUCCUAGUAAGCGCAAGUCAUUAUCUUGCAUUGAUUACGUCCCUGUCUUUUGUACACACCGCCCGUCGCUCCUACCGAUUGGAUAGCAAGGUGAACUUGAUGGACUCUAACGAGAAAAUUUAU